CUUUCUUUGCUGGCGACCGGCGCACGGGUGAGUAGCACGUAUCCAACCUGCCCUUUACUCGGGGAUAGCCUUUCGAAAGAAAGAUUAAUACCCGAUAGCAUAAUGAUUCCGCAUGGUUUCAUUAUUAAAGGAUUCCGGUAAAGGAUGGGGAUGCGUUCCAUUAGGUUGUUGGUGGGGUAACGGCCCACCAAGCCUUCGAUGGAUAGGGGUUCUGAGAGGAAGGUCCCCCACAUUGGAACUGAGACACGGUCCAA
Molecule: ribosomal RNA, 254 nt
Filed under: uncultured bacterium
Lineage: Bacteria
Description: partial 16S ribosomal RNA
Rfam family: Bacterial small subunit ribosomal RNA
Source: RNAcentral